GACCAAAGGUGAAAACUUACGCAGGACCUCCCUCCCGGCUCCCAUUAUCCCUAGCUAGCCCGCGCUCAUCCCCUUCUACACCAGCAGCCGCCGCCCCCGCCCCGCACCCCUUGCCCUCCCUCCCUACCUUUUCCCAGCCGAGCGCCCCAUCCACCUAAUACAAAGGGCAACGCCGCGGCUGGGCAGUCCAGGAGGCGAGCGAGGCAGCGAGCAAAGUUUUUCAUGGAUCGAUCGAUACAUGUGUGAUUGUGUUUGCCUCUUCCUCAGCUGGCUGAUCGAGCGUCCUCUACGUGCCCUCCCUCAGCAGCUCGUCGCCGCAGGCAGGUAUCCACACGUGAUGCCUAUGUGCUGCACGCCAUUUCUCUAUGCAGGUGCCGCCAUGGCCGUGUCAUGGAGCUCGCCGCCGCGCCUUCCAACGACGCCCUGCGUCCAGGCAUGGCGAGGGCGCUCGAUGGCAGGAACGGCCGCAUCAAGGAGGCAGCUAGGGACGGUGGCUCCAGGGCUCUACACGCCGUUGCCAGCCACGGGAAGAUGUCGGUGUGUGUUUACCUGCUCGAGAAGCAUGUUCAACGAAAAUGUCAAUGAACCUUUGGCCAUAGCUUCUUCCUCUUCUCACAACAAGUGAGUUCUCUCUGCACUAGCAUUAGUGCUAUCAGUAAUCACCGCUCUAGAAUCCUGAAUAUAUUUCUAUAUGAUAUCCAGCCGGUAAUCGUGCAGGGUUUUGUCUAAAGUUUUUUCUUUUACAAUUUGCAAUGUACAAAGUUUGAAUAAACUGCUGGCAUCUAAUUUUCCAUCAUAUUAUAUUUUACGCAUAAGUUUUGUAUCUCCUUUCUAAUGAGUAAAUGGUGAAUAGAUCCUUUUUGUGAAUUAAACAUAAUUCAGAGAUGAUAAUGACUAUGUAGCUUGCAUUGCAUGCAUGUAUGGUGGUGUAUCUAUUGAGCUGGAGAAUAUUUUAGUAUUCAUUCACUUGCAGCGAUGGCAAUGACCAACACAGUUUUUUCGUUUUCUGUUUCGUUCCUACGUUCUGGUUGGUACCGGUGUAGAUUUUCUUCCUUAAUAAAAUACAUAGAAGUAGAUCGGAUUGGUCACAAAUAUCUUACUACUUCAGCAGCAGUUAUGUUUUUCCAACUGAAAUCAUUUUCCUUGCUAGGCACUAGCUAUACCUGAAAACAGGUAAGAGACAUGUUGUUGGCAACUCACCCUUAGUUACAGUUGAGGUACUUGCACAAAAGACGUGUGAAAAUGUUUGAUUUUAACAUUGUUUUACCAUAUGCUUUGAUUUCAUCGGGAAAGAGGAGAAGACGAGAGGAAAAGAGUCCCUAGGGGUAAGUAUGGCCGAGCACAACAGGUUGAAACAAAAAUACUGAGAUGGUGUUGAGAACAGAAAAUAGGAGAAAUACUCCAAUGUUUUACACAACAUGUUGUGACACAUGCACACGACAUAGAUAUUUUAAUCAAUAUCUCAUUUAAUGAACUAAUCAAGAAAGAAAAAAAUAGAUUGACUCAUGAUGACAAAUAUGUUCGUCUUGAUUUGUACUAUCAAUUUUUAUCGCAACACAGUCAUAAGUCGCAUGUGACGUUCACAUUGUGAAUUGAAAUGAUGUUUUGAUUAGUGUCUUAGUUUGUUGUUUCAUGGUAGCACGGGCAUUCACCUGUGUUAGUUUUUCAUCUUGAAUGAAAGUAACUUUGUGUUAUAAUUGAUUGAGCAUAUGAAUUUAUGAAGUAUUGGUUGUGUAUGCUAAUUCUGACAGAUGGAAUCCUUUGCUUUCUAGCAUCAUGCACUAAUAUCUCUAUCCCUAAUGUCUCAGUUGGUAGAAUAGCCUCCACGAAUUUUUUUUGUCCCACCACUUUCAUCUAUUUUUUUCUUUGGUUUUUUGUCCCCCACCCCACCCCACCCCAUGCAAGCACCCUCAAAAAACAACCCGCACAAACACCGCUCCUAUCGAUCCCUUGGACGCACGAGAUCGCCGCCGCCGACCUCACAGAGAAGAUGCCACCGAAUCUUGUACACGUACGGGAUCGCCGGAUCCCUGGAACGCCGCUGAUCUAUUCACUACGUCGACGGAAACCAAGCGCUACACUAGAAACCAGGCCGAUCCCAGAGCCAGAAGAAGAAGGAGAAGAGGGUGUCCAUGGCUCAUCAGGCGUCGGCGGGCAACGAUGACACGCGGCUGCGAAGGUGUUCGUGGAUGGCCUGGCGUGGAAGAUGAGCAAGGAGGGCGUGCGCGACCAGUUCGAGCUCUUCGGCGAGAUCCUCGAGGCCGUCGUCAUCGCCAACAAGGGCACCGACAUAUCCAAGGGCCGCGGAUUCCCCUGUUAGUUGAUGCUAUGCCUAGAUGGAUGUUUGGCAGGUUACGUUUUGGGAGGCGGAGGCGGCCAUUAGGGCGUGCUUGGGUCCGUACCGGUGAUUGACGACCGAAGGACCAACUACAACCUUGCCCGCCUCAGGGUCCAAAGGUCCAAGGCCCCACAACCAACUGCCUCUGCAUCCAUAUGCUGGUAAUUAAUUAAUUUGAUGUUUUGAUUGUUAGUCAUUGACCAUGACCAAGAAUCUGUCAAUUAAUUUGAUGCUUUAGUUAACUUGUAAUUUGCUGAAUUAUUAUUGGUUAAGCACCGUGCAUGUCUUCGUUUGAUUGUUAGUCGGUGACCAUUACCAAGAAGCUAGCUAGGUGUGCAUGCAUGCCACACACAUUAUCUGUUGUUGCAGUUUAAAAUCAUCUGCCAACUCUCUUUUCAAAUAAAAAAAAUCUGCCAACUUAAUUAAUCAAUCAUGUCGGAUUGUAGACGCGGUGACCAGACAAUGCAAAGUUCCUGUUUAGUUUGACAUAGUUAGUAGAAGGUUUAGUGUCAAUCUAGAUUUGCUAUGACUAAUUUGAAAACUAUACUGGUGUUAUAGAUUUGCUAGGACUAAUUAAUCUGUAUGCACGGCUAUUGCUCUUUUGAUGUUUUUCACUGUCGAGAUUACGCUUUUAGAAAAUGUGUUUGUUUUGUUUUGUGUUAAGCUACAACAAAAUAUGAUUUGAUUCCACUCUGGACAAUCUUCAAAGAGAUGCUAAUUCUCCAUGAUUAUUAACUUGACGUCUGAAAUUAAGUUUGCCUGUCCUAUUGUGGUUUAUUUCAGUUAUGUGUGGUAAUUGCAGCAAUCAAGUUACCAAAUCUGAAGCAUUUUAGCAAGGCAACGGUACAUGUGCUCUUUUGGUGGAAGA
Non-coding RNA from Triticum urartu, 3206 nucleotides. Lineage: Eukaryota; Viridiplantae; Streptophyta; Magnoliopsida; Poales; Poaceae. The record is from RefSeq and is a predicted model, not a curated record.